Molecule: long non-coding RNA, 283 nt
Filed under: Brassica napus (rape)
Lineage: Eukaryota; Viridiplantae; Streptophyta; Magnoliopsida; Brassicales; Brassicaceae
Description: long non-coding RNA (BNAP_LNC024290)
Source: RNAcentral
ACUAGCACUUAAGGUUAAAAGUCACAAAAAUAGCACUUAAUGUUUUAUCAAAAGUCACAAACUUAGGGUUUAGAGUUAAAGGGUGGGGUUUAGGAUUUAGGGUUUAGGGUUUAGAGUUUAGGGUUUAAAUUUUAGGGUUUAGGAUUUAGAGUUUAGGGUUUAGGGUUUAGAGUUUAGGGUUUAUGGUUUAGAGUUUAGGGUUUAAAAUUUAGGGUUUAGGGUUUAGAGUUUAGGGUUUAGGGUUUAGAGUUGAGAAAUGAGGUUUUGGGUUUAAGAUUUCAAA